AGUGGCGACCGGGUGAGUAACACGUGACUAACCUACCUCCGAGUGGGGAAUAACUCCGGGAAACCGGGGCUAAUACCGCAUAACAUCGCGAGAUCAAAGCAGUAAUGCGCUUGGAGAGGGGGUCGCGGCUGAUUAGCUAGUUGGCGGGGUAACGGCCCACCAAGGCGAAGAUCGGUAUCCGGCCUGAGAGGGCGCACGGACACACUGGAACUGAAACACGGUCCAGACUCCUACGGGAGGCAGCAGUGGGGAAUUUUGCGCAAUGGGGGAAACCCUGACGCAGCAACGCCGCGUGGAGGAUGAAGCCCUUUGGGGCGUAAACUCCUUUCGACUCGGACGAUAAUGACGGUACGAGUGGAAGAAGCACCGGCUAACUCUGUGCCAGCAGCCGCGGUAAUACAGAGGGUGCAAGCGUUGUUCGGAAUUAUUGGGCGUAAAGGGCGCGUAGGCGGUGCGGUAAGUCACCUGUGAAAUCUCCCGGCUUAACUGGGAGCCUGCAGGCGA
This 504-nucleotide ribosomal RNA is filed under the name uncultured bacterium. RNAcentral's name for it is "bacterial SSU rRNA". It matches the Rfam family "Bacterial small subunit ribosomal RNA", at positions 94 to 630 of the family's 1533-position model. The record is from RNAcentral.